UUCUUAUCCAGAGAGGCUGAGGGACUGGCCCUGCGAAGCCCGGCAACCUUCUUAAGGAGACUUAAGAAAGGUGCUAAUUCCUGCGGAAGAUAAUUCUUCUGAAAGAUAAGAA
This 112-nucleotide non-coding RNA is filed under the name Desulfotomaculum nigrificans. Its description in RNAcentral is "SAM-I sequence". It matches the Rfam family "SAM riboswitch aptamer (S box leader)". From Rfam's summary of the family: The SAM riboswitch is found upstream of a number of genes which code for proteins involved in methionine or cysteine biosynthesis in Gram-positive bacteria. The SAM riboswitch acts at the level of transcription termination control. The record is from RNAcentral. Lineage: Bacteria; Bacillati; Bacillota; Clostridia; Eubacteriales; Desulfotomaculaceae. RNAcentral also lists the same sequence under 1 other name.